AUUGAACGCUGGCGGCAGGCCUAACACAUGCAAGUCGAGCGGAUGAAGGGAGCUUGCUCCUGGAUGCAGCUGCGGACGGGUGAGUAAGGCCUAGGAAUCUGCCUGGUAGUGGGGGAUAACGUCCGGAAACGGGCGCUAAUACCGCAUACGUCCUGAGGGAGAAAGGGGGGGAUCUUCGGACCUCACGCUAUCAGAUGAGCCUAGGUCGGAGUAGCUAGUUGGUGGGGUAAAGGCGUACCAAGGCGACGAUCCGUAACUGGUCUGAGAGGAUGAUCAGUCACACUGGAACUGAGACACGGUCCAGACUCCUACGGGAGGCAGCAGUGGGGAAUAUUGCACAAUGGGCGAAAGCCUGAUCCAGCCAUGCCGCGUGUGUGAAGAAGGUCUUCGGAUUGUAAAGCACUUUAAGUUGGGAGGAAGGGCAGUACGUUAAUACCUUGCUGUUUUGACGUUACCAACAGAAUAAGCACCGGCUAACUUCGUG
Molecule: ribosomal RNA, 484 nt
Filed under: uncultured bacterium
Lineage: Bacteria
Description: partial 16S ribosomal RNA
Rfam family: Bacterial small subunit ribosomal RNA
Source: RNAcentral